Culex quinquefasciatus (southern house mosquito) is the source of this 633-nucleotide long non-coding RNA. RefSeq lists it as uncharacterized. The transcript is spliced from 2 exons. The record is from RefSeq and is a predicted model, not a curated record. Lineage: Eukaryota; Metazoa; Arthropoda; Insecta; Diptera; Culicidae.
UUAAAACAAUUUGACCGUUCUCUCUUGAGAGUGCAAGUCAAACGUCAGCCAUCUUUGUGUUGUGCAAAUCGGUGCGUGUCGAGUUUACAACGUGUGUCAAAAAAACUAAAACCUCUUGUUAAUUCGAGGUUUAUUCAGUAAAAAUAUUAAACUGAACGACGAUUCCCCGGAGGAUGCCGAAGGUUAAACAGAAAAAUAUUUCCUUCGUUGGUGCAACGGGAUCGUUCCGGCAACCCACUUCACCUUAGCUAGCAGCUACCAAAUUGGCCACCUUCCGGAACGGAAUGGCUUCUACGGGACCGUACCAAGCCGCGCCGAACCAGAUGCCGUCGCGUUUCAACUGGCCACACAUUUGGCCAUCAUCAAUUAUGCGGAAACUUUUGACCUUGAGGAGAUCUUUCGUGGAACCAUUAACAAGUGACCACCGGGAACAGAUGAUGUCAGUGAAUGGGUUGACUCCGGUGGCGACCAUCGUUCCAAGAGUACCAAAGAAAUAAGUGAAACAAGUGCCGGCCGCCCGAUUUCCCGGGAGUAAGUGUUGUGUUGGGAGUGCACGUUGUGUUUAAAUUUUAACGAUAAAACAAGAUGUUAGUGUAUGUGCGAUAGUUAAAAUAAAUGAUACAUUGACGAUGA